AGUGAACGCUGGCGGUAGGCCUAACACAUGCAAGUCGAACGGCAGCACAGUAAGAGCUUGCUCUUACGGGUGGCGAGUGGCGGACGGGUGAGGAAUACAUCGGAAUCUACUUUUUCGUGGGGGAUAACGUAGGGAAACUUACGCUAAUACAGCAUACGACCUACGGGUGAAAGCAGGGGAUCUUCGGACCUUGCGCGAUUGAAUGAGCCGAUGUCGGAUUAGCUAGUUGGCGGGGUAAAGGCCCACCAAGGCGACGAUCCGUAGCUGGUCUGAGAGGCUGAUCAGCCACACUGGAACUGAGACACGGUCCAGACGCCUACGGGAGGCAGCAGUGGGGAAUAUUGGACAGUAGGCGCAAGCCUGAUCCAGCCAUACCGCGUGGGUGAAGAAGGCCUUCGGGUUGUAAAGCCCUUUUGUUGGGAAAGAAAAGCAGCAGGUUAAUACCCCGCUGUUCUGACGGUACCCAAAGAAUAAGCACCGGCUAACUUCGUG
This 492-nucleotide ribosomal RNA is filed under the name uncultured bacterium. RNAcentral describes it as "partial 16S ribosomal RNA". It matches the Rfam family "Bacterial small subunit ribosomal RNA", at positions 29 to 507 of the family's 1533-position model. The record is from RNAcentral.